This is a long non-coding RNA of Micropterus dolomieu (smallmouth bass), 1644 nucleotides long. RefSeq lists it as uncharacterized. The transcript is spliced from 4 exons. NCBI's taxonomy places the organism in Eukaryota, Metazoa, Chordata, Actinopteri, Centrarchiformes, Centrarchidae. The record is from RefSeq and is a predicted model, not a curated record.
CUGAACCUGAUCUGCCUUAUUGCGAGACCCUGCAGGGGCAAAUAGACACGAAGAUGGGCAACUAACAGGGAGGUUGAACAACGUCUUACAGCAAAUUAAGUAAUUGUAUGGUGUUGCAGGAAGGGUUUUAAAAGCGGUGAUUCAGGCUUUCAGCUCACCUGCCGUUCACAGUACGCCUUCAUUAGUUUGCUGAGAGGUGUGUGUCUUUUGAUUUUGAACUGGACCACCGACCCAUCUUGCCCGGCAACCUUGAGGUUGAUGUGAUCGUUCUCAGUCUUUACUCCCUCCUGUAGAAACAAAAAUGUUUAACAUCCGGUAGACCAGCAGGUUACAGGUAACAGAGAUAUCACAUAACAUAUAACAGGUCGUAACAUUACACUAGGGUCACAGAUGCACCACAGGAAAGAGCACCGCCAUCAUAAGACUAAUACAAGCCAAGCUAACGUGCGCGCUUUGGACCGCUGUUAAAAAUAAACGAUAGGUUCGGAGAGGACCACGUGACCUUUGGAGGCGGGAGCGCGGACGCGGGAGCGCGCACAUAUGCAAAAUACUCGAUCACGCGAACUGAAGAACCCAUGAAGCCGUCCUCUGCAUCUUGGCCUCAAACCUCUUGGAUCUGACACACAAACACAAGACCAAAGUUAACAGCGGAGAAGGCAGAUCAGGAGGGCGAUGAUGAUGAUUGCACUAAUCACUGACACAGUGAUUAUCAAUAUCUGGAAGUUCACUACAGACCGAGACAGAGAAGCACAAUGUCAAAGUUAAGCAGGAAUCCACAGUCACGCAUUAAGGAAUUUCCCCUCGGGGAUCAAUAAAGUAUUUCUGAUUCUUAUUUCUGAUCAUGAUUGACCUUCAAGACAAAGAAAAAAAAUGUUCUACUUCUCUCCGUAGUUCUCCUUUUCUUCAUUUGUUGUUUAAAUAUCACCGUUAUUGUGUAAGCAACAUUUUGCUGUUGUCGGACCAUGACGUGCUUGCUAAGUCUAAUAUGUUUAUGAUCUUGGAUAGUUUGCACAUAUUCUUUAUACUGUCAACAUUUGCACAUUCUUUGGUCAAUAUUUUUGUUCUUUCAAUUAUCUCUUUUAUUUUGGAUUAUUUAAUUUUGUAUAAUUAUGCUUUUCGACUUUUGCAGUACUUUUUUUUCUGUUGUUACCAUGGCAAAUUCCUUGUACUGUAUGUUAAAAACCUACUUGGCAAAUAAACCAUCUUCUGUUUCAACCUACAGCAAAGCACGGAGGGGAUGUAUUAAGCAAAACAUCCCUGGUUAUUGUAUCUAUUAUCAAUCUCUAAAUAGAUAUUAGAUAAGAUAUAUUUUUUCCAGAAAAUUUAUUAUAUCUAAUGGUUUUAUGUCAUGGUGUUCUAAUUGUAAUAUAAAAUAACAUGUAUUGUGAAGCACUAUGUUUGCUAAAAUACAUGCUAAGUUUUUCCUGAUUUACGAAAAUUGAGGAUGAGGUGUUGUACUUGGCUAUAUCCACUUACUAUUGGCAAACUGGUUAUGUAGCACAAAGGAGAAGUGCUAUUGCUAUAGUGAGCUGCUGCAAUAGAACUGUAAAACCAAAUUCAGGAAACUACAUACAGAAAAAAUUUAUUUUCUGUAGCCAUGGUAUAUAAGAGCUUAGAAGUACUUACAAGUUAAUUAAUUUAUUA